GCAAGUCGAGCGGUAGAAUGUACUUCGGUAUAUUUGAGAGCGGCGCACGGGUGAGUAACGCGUACAUGACCUACCCAUAAGAACGGAAUAGCCCUGGGAAACUGGGAUUAAUGCCGUAUGUGAUUAGAGAUGUUAGAGGUUUCUAAUUAAAGUUGAGGCGCUUAUGGAUGGAUGUGCGUCUGAUUAGCUAGUUGGCGAGGUAACGGCUCACCAAGGCGACGAUCAGUAGGGGGCGUGAGAGCGUGAUC
This 248-nucleotide ribosomal RNA is filed under the name uncultured bacterium. RNAcentral describes it as "partial 16S ribosomal RNA". It matches the Rfam family "Bacterial small subunit ribosomal RNA", at positions 57 to 305 of the family's 1533-position model. The record is from RNAcentral.